GGGCGCAAGCCUGAUGCAGCGACGCCGCGUGAGGGAUGGAGGCCUUCGGGUCGUAAAACUCUGUUGUUGGAGAGAAUGGUCGGCAGAGUAACUGUGUCGGCGUGACGGUAUCCAACCAGAAAGCCACGGCUAACUACGUGCCAGCAGCCGCGGUAAUACGUAGGUGGCAAGCGUUAUCCGGAAUUAUUGGGCGUAAAGGGCUCGUAGGCGGUUCGUCGCGUCCGGUGUGAAAGUCCAUCGCUUAACGGUGGAUCCGCGCCGGGUACGGGCGGGCUUGAGUGCGGUAGGGGAGACUGGAAUUCCCGGUGUAACGGUGGAAUGUGUAGAUAUCGGGAAGAACACC
Molecule: ribosomal RNA, 343 nt
Filed under: uncultured bacterium
Lineage: Bacteria
Description: bacterial SSU rRNA
Rfam family: Bacterial small subunit ribosomal RNA
Source: RNAcentral